UACGCAGGGUGCAAGCGUUGUCCGGAAUUAUUGGGCGUAAAGAGCUCGUAGGCGGUUCGUCGCGUCGGCUGUGAAAACCUGAGGCUCAACCUCAGGCCUGCAGUCGAUACGGGCGGACUUGAGUACUGCAGGGGAGACUGGAAUUCCUGGUGUAGCGGUGAAAUGCGCAGAUAUCAGGAGGAACACCGGUGGCGAAGGCGGGUCUCUGGGCAGUAACUGACGCUGAGGAGCGAAAGCGUGGGGAGCGAACAGG
This 253-nucleotide ribosomal RNA is filed under the name uncultured bacterium. Its description in RNAcentral is "partial 16S ribosomal RNA". It matches the Rfam family "Bacterial small subunit ribosomal RNA", at positions 524 to 776 of the family's 1533-position model. The record is from RNAcentral.